Molecule: ribosomal RNA, 468 nt
Filed under: uncultured bacterium
Lineage: Bacteria
Description: partial 16S ribosomal RNA
Rfam family: Bacterial small subunit ribosomal RNA
Source: RNAcentral
GACGAACGCUGGCGGCGUGCUUAACACAUGCAAGUCGAACGGAAAGACCCUGCUUUUGUGGGGUGCUCGAGUGGCGAACGGGUGAGUAACACGUGAGUAACCUGCCCUUGACUUUGGGAUAACUUCAGGAAACUGGGGCUAAUACCGGAUAGGAGCUCCUGCUGCAUGGUGGGGGUUGGAAAGUUUCGGCGGUUGGGGAUGGACUCGCGGCUUAUCAGCUUGUUGGUGGGGUAGUGGCUUACCAAGGCUUUGACGGGUAGCCGGCCUGAGAGGGUGACCGGCCACAUUGGGACUGAGAUACGGCCCAGACUCCUACGGGAGGCAGCAGUGGGGAAUAUUGCACAAUGGGCGGAAGCCUGAUGCAGCAACGCCGCGUGCGGGAUGACGGCCUUCGGGUUGUAAACCGCUUUCGCCUGUGACGAAGCGUGAGUGACGGUAAUGGGUAAAGAAGCAGCGGCUAACUACGUG